This 930-nucleotide ribosomal RNA is filed under the name Enterococcus casseliflavus. RNAcentral describes it as "bacterial SSU rRNA". It matches the Rfam family "Bacterial small subunit ribosomal RNA", at positions 298 to 1235 of the family's 1533-position model. The record is from RNAcentral. Lineage: Bacteria; Bacillati; Bacillota; Bacilli; Lactobacillales; Enterococcaceae.
GGGUGAUCGGCCACACUGGACUGAGACACGGCCCAGACUCCUACGGGAGGCAGCAGUAGGGAAUCUUCGGCAAUGGACGAAAGUCUGACCGAGCAACGCCGCGUGAGUGAAGAAGGUUUCGGAUCGUAAAACUCUGUUGUUAGAGAAGAACAAGGAUGAGAGUAAAAUGUUCAUCCCUUGACGGUAUCUAACCAGAAGCCACGGCUAACUACGUGCCAGCAGCCGCGGUAAUACGUAGGUGGCAAGCGUUGUCCGGAUUUAUUGGGCGUAAAGCGAGCGCAGGCGGUCUUAAGUCUGAUGUGAAAGCCCCCGGCUCAACCGGGGAGGGUCAUUGGAAACUGGGAGACUUGAGUGCAGAGAGGAGAGUGGAAUUCCAUGUGUAGCGGUGAAAUGCGUAGAUAUAUGGAGGAACACCAGUGGCGAAGGCGGCUCUCUGGUCUGUAACUGACGCUGAGGCUCGAAAGCGUGGGAGCGAACAGGAUUAGAUACCCUGGUAGUCCACGCCGUAAACGAUGAGUGCUAAGUGUUGGAGGGUUCCGCCCUUCAGUGCUGCAGCAAACGCAUUAAGCACUCCGCCUGGGGAGUACGACCGCAAGGUUGAAACUCAAAGGAAUUGACGCCCGCACAAGCGGUGGAGCAUGUGGUUUAAUUCGAAGCAACGCGAAGAACCUUACCAGGUCUUGACAUCCUUUGACCACUCUAGAGAUAGAGCUUCCUUCGGGGGCAAAGUGACAGGUGGUGCAUGGUUGUCGUCAGCUCGUGUCGUGGAUGUUGGGUUAAGUCCCGCAACGAGCGCAACCCUUAUUGUUAGUUGCCAUCAUUUAGUUGGGCACUCUAGCGAGACUGCCGGUGACAAACCGGAGGAAGGUGGGGAUGACGUCAAAUCAUCAUGCCCCUUAUGACCUGGGCUACACACGUGCUACAAUGGGA